This is a non-coding RNA of Cinara cedri, 353 nucleotides long. The record is from the annotation of a GenBank genome assembly. NCBI's taxonomy places the organism in Eukaryota, Metazoa, Arthropoda, Insecta, Hemiptera, Aphididae.
UCGCCGCGUCGCCGCCGUCAUAGUGUUAUAAUUAACGUCGGACCGUCCGCCGCCGACGCCUCCGCCAUCGCGUUACCGUAGUACACGACACUUCGAACAGCGACGACAACAUCGUCAUUGCCGUUCACGCGAUUCCCGCCGUUGCCAGCCGCAGACCGUAAUUUUCGAACGAACGACCGUUUCCGCCAGUGAUCCCCGACAGCGGCUGCCGACGUACCAGUCGUACAAUAGCCGACGAGUACCCCGACAGUACGAUACGAUAUCAGCACAAUACGGUGUGCCCGCGUUCGUUACCGCGCCCGUCUCUCCGUUCCGCGCAUUCGGACAUUUCGCAUUUUUUCGCCGCGAGUUAC